GCGGAUAUAGCUCAGCUGGUAGAGCGCUACGUUGCCAACGUCGAGGCCACGGGUUCGAAUCCCGUUAUCCGCUCCA
Molecule: transfer RNA, 76 nt
Filed under: compost metagenome
Description: tRNA-Gly
Rfam family: tRNA
About the family: Transfer RNA (tRNA) molecules are approximately 80 nucleotides in length.
Source: RNAcentral